RNAcentral lists this long non-coding RNA (1157 nucleotides) under Pogona vitticeps (central bearded dragon). Its description in RNAcentral is "lncRNA (ENSPVIG00000002557.1)". The record is from RNAcentral. Lineage: Eukaryota; Metazoa; Chordata; Lepidosauria; Squamata; Agamidae.
GCCAUUAUGAUGCAGGAGCUGACAUGGGGAGUCUGUCCUAAAGGUGGCCCACAUGAUGCAGUCUAAAGGUGGCAAUUAUGAUGCAGUAGCCGAUAUGGGCAGUCUGUCUAAAGGUGGCGAUUAUGAUACCAGAGCCGCAAGAGCCAAUAUGGGCAGUCUGUCUGAAGGUGGCGAAUAUGAUGCCAGAGCCAAUAUGGGCAGUCUGUCUAAAGGUGGUGAUUAUGAUGACAGAGCCAACAUGGACAGUCUGUCUAAAGGUGGUGAUUAUGAUGCAAGAGCCAAUAUGGGCAGUCUGUCUAAAGCUGGCGAUUAAGAUGCAAGAGCCAAUAUGGUCAGUUUGUCUAAAGGUGGAGAUUAUUAUGCCAGAGCCAACAUGGGCAGUCUGUCUAAAGGUAGCCCUUAUGAUGCAGGAACUGAAACAGGAAGUCUGUCCUAAAGGACCAUAUUCCUGUCCAACUUGCCAAAAAGGAGUUACUACCACCCAUCAGAGAAGAUCAAGGGGAGCGCAGGAAGUUGGCAAAAAUAGUGUAAUGCACUUCCCCCACCUUCUGUGAAUGAAGAUGAUUUUAGAGAUUCCAAGAGGGGCAUUUUCCCAACUCAUCUUGAUGAGAAGAGCUGCUGCCAUCAGUUGCCCAUCUGGCCAUGGAAAGCGCUUGGAUGUACAUGUCUCUAAGCAUGUGGAGAGAGCUGCUUCUUGAGUUCUAUAUUAAUUGUGUAAUAUAUUAUAAAGCGACGAUAAAAAUGUGCCCUCCUGAACAAAGGUCUACAAUGAUCUUUCUGCAACGUGAGAUCUUGCUUGGCAAAGAAACCUAGGAGUUAAAAAAAAGGAACAGAAGUUACAAAACAUGUUAUUUUGCCUUAAAGAAAUUCCCCCUGAAGACCUGUCUUCCUAAUUAGUGUGGAAAGAAGUCUGGAGGAUGAAAACAAGUGUGGAUAUUAAGGUAGAAACUAGAAAAAGUAGCAGGUUGGAGAAGAUUAUAAAUGAGCCAAAAAGGAAAGGAAUGUAUCUCCAAAUAACCAGAAGAAAAAUACGUGUUUUUCAAAAUUUAUUUAAUUUAUUUAUUUAAUUUAUUUAUUUGAUUUAUAUACCACCCAUCUGGCAGCCAAGGCCACUCUGGGCGGUUUACAACAAAUAAAAAAAAAGUAACAAAAUAGCA